Molecule: ribosomal RNA, 636 nt
Filed under: uncultured archaeon
Lineage: Archaea
Description: bacterial SSU rRNA
Rfam family: Archaeal small subunit ribosomal RNA
Source: RNAcentral
AAGCCCGGAGAUGGGUACUGAGACACGGACCCAGGUCCUAUGGGGCGCAGCAGGCGAGAAACCUUUGCAAUGUGCGCAAGCACAACAAGGUUAAUCCGAGUGAUUCCUGCUAAAGGAAUCUUUUGUUAGUUGUAAAACCACUGAUGAAUAAGGGGUGGGCAAGUUCUGGUGUCAGCCGCCGCGGUAAAACCAGCACCUCAAGUGGUCAGGAGGAUUAUUGGGCCUAAAGCAUCCGUAGCCUGUCCUGUAAGUUUCCGGUUAAAUCCAUUUGCUCAACAAAUGGGCUGCCGAAAAUACUGCAGGACUAGGGAGUGGGAGAGGUAGACGGUACUCGGUAGGAAGGGGUAAAAUCCUUUGAUCUAUUGAUGACCACCUGUGGCGAAGGCGGUCUACCAGAACACGUUCGACGGUGAGGGAUGAAAGCUGGGGGAGCAAACCGGAUUAGAUACCCGGGUAGUCCCAGCUGUAAACGAUGCAGACUCGGUGAUGCCCUGGCUUGUGGCCAGUGCAGUGCCGCAGGGAAGCCGUUAAGUUUGCCGCCUGGGAAGUACGUACGCAAGUAUGAAACUUAAAGGAAUUGGCGGGGGAGCACCACAAGGGGUGAAGCCUGCGGUUCAAUUGGAUUCAACGCCGGAA